AAGGAUCAUUAAUGAAACUUUCAAGUCGGCCGUAUCACUGUGCUGGUGGAGACACAUGUGCACGUUGCGGUCGCAAUCCACACACCUGUGCACCCUUUGACUCUGAGCACCGCCGGCAACGGCAGCAGGUCCUUUUGGGACCCGGUACUCGAGUUCUUUACACACUCUGAACUGUAAUGGAAUGUCAUUGUACAAUGUACAACCAUAAACAACUUUCAACAACGGAUCUCUUGGCUCUC
This 239-nucleotide unclassified non-coding RNA is filed under the name uncultured fungus. Its description in RNAcentral is "partial contains 18S rRNA, ITS1, 5.8S rRNA, ITS2 and 28S rRNA". Lineage: Eukaryota; Fungi. The record is from RNAcentral.